UCUUUUUCUUUGUUGGCCAAACUUGUCGGCCAUCCUUAUCUUCUCCUCAUUUUGUCAUUUUCCUUUAGGAUCCGUUAUAAAAGGAUCACUUGUAAUUGGAAAGACAAGCUUGGAUACACUGCCUUCUCUCUCUUGUAAAAAAUCCACUAAAUAAAAAUUUUGAAGUUUGCUACAUCUCUCUCUCCUCUGGUUACGACACAGCUCCCUUAGGAGCAUGGGUUAACACCCCUGGAUCGUCGACACACACGAGUCCGUCCACAUGUGUGCUUGCCAACAUAGGGUCAUUUAUGGGAUUUCAAAUUUAUGCCCUUCCUAGCUGUUGUACUUAAGUGCUUUGGUAUCUGUAUUGUUUCUCCUUUGGACAAAAAAACUAAGCUAUCUUUUCCUUAUUUAUUUCGUAUCCUUGUACUGACUUAUUUUGAGGGGGAAAGGUAGACCCUACUUGGAAAAAAUUUACGCGCUCAAUUAGGAACCGUGUUAGACACAUUAUUGUUUCUCUUCACUAAAUGUGGGCCCCACUUGAAUAAUGUAUACCACGCGCUACUUUGCAAUGA
Long non-coding RNA from Lycium barbarum (goji berry), 554 nucleotides. RefSeq lists it as uncharacterized. The transcript has 2 exons. NCBI's taxonomy places the organism in Eukaryota, Viridiplantae, Streptophyta, Magnoliopsida, Solanales, Solanaceae. The record is from RefSeq and is a predicted model, not a curated record.